AAUAGAUACCCAGUAGUCCACGCCGUAAACGAUGAGUGCUAAGUGUUAGAGGGCUUCCACCCUUUAGUGCUGCAGCUAACGCAUUAAGCACUCCGCCUGGGGAGUACGGCCGCAAGGCUGAAACUCAAAGGAAUUGACGGGGGCCCGCACAAGCGGUGGAGCAUGUGGUUUAAUUCGAAGCAACGCGAAGAACCUUACCAGGUCUUGACAUCCUUCGCUACCUCUAGAGAUAGAGGGUUCCCCUUCGGGGGACGGAGUGACAGGUGGUACAUGGUUGUCGUCAGCUCGUGUCGUGAGAUGUUGGGUUAAGUCCCGCAACGAGCGCAACCCUUGACCUUAGUUGCCAGCAUUCAGUUGGGCACUCUAAGGUGACUGCCGGUGACAAACCGGAGGAAGGUGGGGAUGACGUCAAAUCAUCAUGCCCCUUAUGACCUGGGCUACACACGUGCUACAAUGGAUGGUACAAAGGGUCGCGAAACCGCGAGGUGGAGCCAAUCCCAAAAAACCAUUCUCAGUUCGGAUUGUAGGCUGAAACUCGCCUAC
This 543-nucleotide ribosomal RNA is filed under the name uncultured bacterium. RNAcentral describes it as "bacterial SSU rRNA". It matches the Rfam family "Bacterial small subunit ribosomal RNA", at positions 777 to 1319 of the family's 1533-position model. The record is from RNAcentral.